This 27-nucleotide non-coding RNA is filed under the name Mus musculus (house mouse). Lineage: Eukaryota; Metazoa; Chordata; Mammalia; Rodentia; Muridae. The record is from RNAcentral.
UCAUGUGAUUUAGUCUGACUUAGCCUA